RNAcentral lists this ribosomal RNA (2356 nucleotides) under Salmonella enterica. RNAcentral describes it as "partial 23S ribosomal RNA". It matches the Rfam family "Bacterial large subunit ribosomal RNA", at positions 678 to 2925 of the family's 2925-position model. Lineage: Bacteria; Pseudomonadati; Pseudomonadota; Gammaproteobacteria; Enterobacterales; Enterobacteriaceae. The record is from RNAcentral.
CGAGUCUUAACCGGGCGUUAAGUUGCAGGGUAUAGACCCGAAACCCGGUGAUCUAGCCAUGGGCAGGUUGAAGGUUGGGUAACACUAACUGGAGGACCGAACCGACUAAUGUUGAAAAAUUAGCGGAUGACCUGUGGCUGGGGGUGAAAGGCCAAUCAAACCGGGAGAUAGCUGGUUCUCCCCGAAAGCUAUUUAGGUAGCGCCUCGUGAAUUCAUCUCCGGGGGUAGAGCACUGUUUCGGCUAGGGGGCCAUCCCGGCUUACCAACCCGAUGCAAACUGCGAAUACCGGAGAAUGUUAUCACGGGAGACACACGGCGGGUGCUAACGUCCGUCGUGAAGAGGGAAACAACCCAGACCGCCAGCUAAGGUCCCAAAGUCAUGGUUAAGUGGGAAACGAUGUGGGAAGGCCCAGACAGCCAGGAUGUUGGCUUAGAAGCAGCCAUCAUUUAAAGAAAGCGUAAUAGCUCACUGGUCGAGUCGGCCUGCGCGGAAGAUGUAACGGGGCUAAACCAUGCACCGAAGCUGCGGCAGCGAACGUAUCACCCAAGACAACUUUACGGAGUUGACGAUUGACGGAGCGAAGCGACGUCAAAGCGUUCAUUAAAGUCGAGUUGGCUUAGGGAUACGUUCGUUGGGUAGGGGAGCGUUCUGUAAGCCUGUGAAGGUGGCCUGUGAGGGUUGCUGGAGGUAUCAGAAGUGCGAAUGCUGACAUAAGUAACGAUAAAGCGGGUGAAAAGCCCGCUCGCCGGAAGACCAAGGGUUCCUGUCCAACGUUAAUCGGGGCAGGGUGAGUCGACCCCUAAGGCGAGGCCGAAAGGCGUAGUCGAUGGGAAACGGGUUAAUAUUCCCGUACUUGGUGUUACUGCGAAGGGGGGACGGAGAAGGCUAUGUUGGCCGGGCGACGGUUGUCCCGGUUUAAGCGUGUAGGUGUGUGUUCCAGGUAAAUCCGGUUCACUUUAACACUGAGGCGUGAUGACGAGGCACUACGGUGCUGAAGCAACAAAUGCCCUGCUUCCAGGAAAAGCCUCUAAGCAUCAGGUAACAUCAAAUCGUACCCCAAACCGACACAGGUGGUCAGGUAGAGAAUACCAAGGCGCUUGAGAGAACUCGGGUGAAGGAACUAGGCAAAAUGGUGCCGUAACUUCGGGAGAAGGCACGCUGACACGUAGGUGAAGUGAUUUACUCACGGAGCUGAAGUCAGUCGAAGAUACCAGCUGGCUGCAACUGUUUAUUAAAAACACAGCACUGUGCAAACACGAAAGUGGACGUAUACGGUGUGACGCCUGCCCGGUGCCGGAAGGUUAAUUGAUGGGGUCAGCGCAAGCGAAGCUCCUGAUCGAAGCCCCGGUAAACGGCGGCCGUAACUAUAACGGUCCUAAGGUAGCGAAAUUCCUUGUCGGGUAAGUUCCGACCUGCACGAAUGGCGUAAUGAUGGCCAGGCUGUCUCCACCCGAGACUCAGUGAAAUUGAACUCGCUGUGAAGAUGCAGUGUACCCGCGGCAAGACGGAAAGACCCCGUGAACCUUUACUAUAGCUUGACACUGAACAUUGAGCCUUGAUGUGUAGGAUAGGUGGGAGGCUUUGAAGUGUGGACGCCAGUCUGCAUGGAGCCGACCUUGAAAUACCACCCUUUAAUGUUUGAUGUUCUAACGUGGACCCGUGAUCCGGGUUGCGGACAGUGUCUGGUGGGUAGUUUGACUGGGGCGGUCUCCUCCUAAAGAGUAACGGAGGAGCACGAAGGUUGGCUAAUCCUGGUCGGACAUCAGGAGGUUAGUGCAAUGGCAUAAGCCAGCUUGACUGCGAGCGUGACGGCGCGAGCAGGUGCGAAAGCAGGUCAUAGUGAUCCGGUGGUUCUGAAUGGAAGGGCCAUCGCUCAACGGAUAAAAGGUACUCCGGGGAUAACAGGCUGAUACCGCCCAAGAGUUCAUAUCGACGGCGGUGUUUGGCACCUCGAUGUCGGCUCAUCACAUCCUGGGGCUGAAGUAGGUCCCAAGGGUAUGGCUGUUCGCCAUUUAAAGUGGUACGCGAGCUGGGUUUAGAACGUCGUGAGACAGUUCGGUCCCUAUCUGCCGUGGGCGCUGGAGAACUGAGGGGGGCUGCUCCUAGUACGAGAGGACCGGAGUGGACGCAUCACUGGUGUUCGGGUUGUCAUGCCAAUGGCACUGCCCGGUAGCUAAAUGCGGAAGAGAUAAGUGCUGAAAGCAUCUAAGCACGAAACUUGCCCCGAGAUGAGUUCUCCCUGAGACUUAGAGUCUCCUGAAGGAACGUUGAAGACGACGACGUUGAUAGGCCGGGUGUGUAAGCGCAGCGAUGCGUUGAGCUAACCGGUACUAAUGAACCGUGAGGCUUAACCUU